Molecule: ribosomal RNA, 253 nt
Filed under: uncultured bacterium
Lineage: Bacteria
Description: partial 16S ribosomal RNA
Rfam family: Bacterial small subunit ribosomal RNA
Source: RNAcentral
UACGGAUGGGGCUAGCGUUGUUCGGAAUUACUGGGCGUAAAGCGUGCGUAGACGGUUAUCUAAGUCAGAUGUGAAAGCCCCGGGCUCAACCUGGGAAUUGCAUUUGAGACUGAAUAGCUAGGGUGCGGUAGAGGGAAGCGGAAUUUCCGGUGUAGCGGUGAAAUGCGUAGAUAUCGGAAGGAACAUCAGUGGCGAAAGCGGCUUCCUGGACCAGCACCGACGUUCAGGCACGAAAGCGUGGGGAGCAAACAGG